Molecule: unclassified non-coding RNA, 354 nt
Filed under: soil metagenome
Description: partial contains 5.8S ribosomal RNA, internal transcribed spacer 2, and large subunit ribosomal RNA
Rfam family: 5.8S ribosomal RNA (bases 1-120)
Source: RNAcentral
GAUGAAGAACGUAGCGAAAUGCGAUAAGUAAAGUGAAUUGCAGAAUUCAGUGAAUCAUCGAAUCUUUGAACGCACAUUGCGCCCGCCAGUAUUCUGGCGGGCAUGCCUGUUCGAGCGUCAUUUCAACCCUCAGGCCCCCAGUGCCUGGCGUUGGGGAUCGGCGCGGCGCCCUCCGGGGCGCUGCCGGCCCCGAAAUUCAGUGGCGGUCUCGCUGUAGCCCUCCUCCGCGUAGUAGCACAACCUCGCGGCCUGGAGCUCGGCGGUGGCCAUGCCGUAAAACACCCCACUUCUGAAAGUUGACCUCGGAUCAGGUAGGAAUACCCGCUGAACUUAAGCAUAUCAAUAAGCGGAGGA